CAGUCCGCGGUAAUACGAAGGUCCCAAGCGUUGUUCGGAAUCACUGGGCGUAAAGGGAGCGUAGGCGGCGUGGUAAGUCAGAUGUGAAAUCCCGGGGCUCAACCCCGGAACUGCAUCCGAUACUGCCAUGCUUGAGGGUUGGAGAGGUAGCUGGAAUUCUCGGUGUAGCAGUGAAAUGCGUGGAUAUCGAGAGGAACACUCGUGGCGAAGGCGAGCUACUGGACAACAUCUGACGCUGAGGCUCGAAGGCUAGGGUAGCGAAAGGGAUUAGAUACCCCCGUAGUCCCUGUCUCUUAUACAC
This 301-nucleotide ribosomal RNA is filed under the name uncultured bacterium. Its description in RNAcentral is "partial 16S ribosomal RNA". It matches the Rfam family "Bacterial small subunit ribosomal RNA", at positions 512 to 809 of the family's 1533-position model. The record is from RNAcentral.